CGAGAAUUUUUCACAAUGGGCGCAAGCCUGAUGGAGCGACGCCGCGUGGGGGAUGAAUGGCUUCGGCCCGUAAACCCCUGUCAUUUGCGAUCAACCGUUAUUAUUUAAAAGAUGAUAACCUGAUAGUAGCGAAAGAGGAAGGGACGGCUAACUCUGUGCCAGCAGCCGCGGUAAUACAGAGGUCCCAAGCGUUGUUCGGAUUUACUGGGCGUAAAGGGUGCGUAGGUGGCGGUGUAAGUCGGAUGUGAAAUCUCCGAGCUCAACUCGGAAACUGCAUUGGAAACUACAUUGCUCGAGGGUUGGAGGGGGGACUGGAAUACUUGGUGUAGCAGUGAAAUGCGUAGAUAUCAAGUGGAACACCAGUGGCGAAGGCGAGUCCCUGGACAACUCCUGACACUGAGGCACGAAAGCUAGGGGAGCAAACA
RNAcentral lists this ribosomal RNA (425 nucleotides) under uncultured Verrucomicrobiota bacterium. RNAcentral's name for it is "bacterial SSU rRNA". It matches the Rfam family "Bacterial small subunit ribosomal RNA", at positions 356 to 774 of the family's 1533-position model. The record is from RNAcentral. Lineage: Bacteria; Pseudomonadati; Verrucomicrobiota.